AGAUAGUACAGAAUGAAUCUUGGAGGAAGGGUCCCUGCUGGGGCUCCAAGGGAACCACGUGUAGACAAGCACAACCUUCAGUUUCCUGACCU
Molecule: long non-coding RNA, 92 nt
Filed under: Capra hircus (goat)
Lineage: Eukaryota; Metazoa; Chordata; Mammalia; Artiodactyla; Bovidae
Description: ZNFX1 antisense RNA 1 conserved region 2 (ENSCHIG00000004883.1)
Rfam family: ZNFX1 antisense RNA 1 conserved region 2
Source: RNAcentral